RNAcentral lists this ribosomal RNA (253 nucleotides) under uncultured bacterium. RNAcentral describes it as "partial 16S ribosomal RNA". It matches the Rfam family "Bacterial small subunit ribosomal RNA", at positions 524 to 776 of the family's 1533-position model. The record is from RNAcentral.
UACGGAGGGUGCAAGCGUUGUUCGGAAUCAUUGGGCGUAAAGCGCGUGUAGGCGGCUUGGCAAGUCGGUUGUGAAAUCCCGGGGCCCAACCCCGGAACUGCAUUCGAAACUGCCUCGCUAGAGUCCCGGAGAGGAAGGCGGAAUUCCCGGUGUAGAGGUGAAAUUCGUAGAUAUCGGGAGGAACACCAGCGGCGAAGGCGGCCUUCUGGACGGUGACUGACGCUGAGACGAGAAAGCGUGGGGAGCAAACAGG